RNAcentral lists this long non-coding RNA (1001 nucleotides) under Homo sapiens (human). RNAcentral's name for it is "HSALNT0026965". Lineage: Eukaryota; Metazoa; Chordata; Mammalia; Primates; Hominidae. The record is from RNAcentral.
CUGAAAUUGCUGCUGCAUGAAAUUCUCUGGGCUAGGUCAGAAGUGGCAGCUGGGGAGUGUGCCCAUGUGUGUAAAAUGUCUCAGCUUAAAGAAACAGGAAAUUCAGGACCAACUCGAACUCUGCGGCCCACGCCUUGUUUCCUAGAAAGGAAGGGGUCCAUAACACGGGAGGCUGGGGCCCCGGGGUGAGGACAGGGAUGACACAGGAGGCUGGGGUCCCCCAGUGGGGCCAGGGAUGAUAUGGGGGGCUGGGGCCCUGCAGCGAGGACGGGGAUGACACGGGAGGCUGGGGUGUCCCACUGGGGUUGGGGAUGAGACAGGAGGCUGGAUCCCUAGUGGGGUUGGGGAUGACACAGGAGGCUGGGAUCCCCCAGUGUGGUUGGGGAUGACAUGGGAGGCUGGGACCCCCCAAGUGGGGUCGGGGCUUUGGCCCAGAGAGGAAUGGGCUUCUGGCCUCUGUCCUUGCCUGGGUCCAGGGCAGUCUCCUGACCCACUGGGUCUCUUUUCCUCUCUGCUCUAAUAGAAUGCCGCCAAGAGCUCGUGCCUGCUGGCCUGGGAGGGUCUGGUUAGAGGAGGAUGAAGCUCUGCUUGGAGAAGCUCUGGAUGCUGGGUGCUGCCUGGUCUGGACUUUGUCCUGAGCAAUCUUGGGGAAAUGGUCCGAGUGAAGUGCAGGGCAACUCCUGGAGGGAAGACAGGUGACAGCGAGAUAAGAAGGGGCAGCGGUAGCCUCGGGGUCUGGAUCUGGGAGGUUCCUGGGACUGGGCAGUGGGGCAGCCAUUUUCUUCAUAGUCAAGUAAACCGAAGCCUUGAGAAGCCGAGUGCAUGGCCCACGGUCCCAGGCUCUUUGCUGCUUGACACCUGCACCAGAAUAUAGGUCCCUGCACGUGGCCACCUUUCCAGUAGGUGGUUCGAGAUGUCCCCACUCUGAAUUCCAGGGCUGGGCACUUGGCCAGCUCCCACAUCCUCCUCUCCCUUAGGGAGAAGUGCAGCGGUCUUGGGGC